Molecule: ribosomal RNA, 253 nt
Filed under: uncultured bacterium
Lineage: Bacteria
Description: partial 16S ribosomal RNA
Rfam family: Bacterial small subunit ribosomal RNA
Source: RNAcentral
UACGUAGGGUGCGAGCGUUAAUCGGAAUUACUGGGCGUAAAGCGUGCGCAGGCGGUUCGUUAAGUCUGCUGUGAAAGCCCCGGGCUCAACCUGGGAAUGGCAGUGGAAACUGGCGAGCUGGAGUGUGGCAGAGGGGGGUGGAAUUCCGCGUGUAGCAGUGAAAUGCGUAGAGAUGCGGAGGAACACCGAUGGCGAAGGCAGCCCCCUGGGCCAAUACUGACGCUCAGGCACGAAAGCGUGGGGAGCACACAGG